RNAcentral lists this ribosomal RNA (127 nucleotides) under Pyramidobacter porci. RNAcentral describes it as "Pyramidobacter sp. SM-530-WT-4B partial 16S ribosomal RNA". It matches the Rfam family "Bacterial small subunit ribosomal RNA", at positions 1 to 113 of the family's 1533-position model. Lineage: Bacteria; Thermotogati; Synergistota; Synergistia; Synergistales; Dethiosulfovibrionaceae. The record is from RNAcentral.
UUUAACGGAGAGUUUGAUCCUGGCUCAGGACGAACGCUGGCGGCGUGCUUAACACAUGCAAGUUGAGCGGAGAUGGAUUGAGAGACUUCGGUUGAUUGGUACAUUUCAGCAGCGGACGGGUGAGUAA